RNAcentral lists this transfer RNA (80 nucleotides) under Erwinia phage vB_EamM_Parshik. RNAcentral's name for it is "tRNA-His". It matches the Rfam family "tRNA". From Rfam's summary of the family: Transfer RNA (tRNA) molecules are approximately 80 nucleotides in length. Their secondary structure includes four short double-helical elements and three loops (D, anti-codon, and T loops). The record is from RNAcentral. Lineage: Duplodnaviria; Heunggongvirae; Uroviricota; Caudoviricetes; Chimalliviridae.
GGUGUAUGUAGUUCAGUUGGUUAGAAUUCUGGCUUGUGACGUCAGAGGUCGGUGAGUUCGAAUCUCCCCAUACACCCCAA